GGAACCGGGAGAGGUAAGAGGUACUACAGGGUAGGAGUGAAAUCUUGUAAUCCCUGCGGGACCACCGUGUGGCGAAGGCGUCUUACCAGAACGGGUUCGACGGUGAGGGACGAAAGCUGGGGGCACGAACCGGAUUAGAGUACCCGGGUAGUCCCAGCCGUAAACGAUGCUCGCUAGGUGUCAGGCAUGGCGCGACCGUGUCUGGUGCCGCAGGGAAGCCGUGAAGCGAGCCACCUGGGAAGUACGGCCGCAAGGCUGAAACUUAAAGGAAUUGGCGGGGAGCACAACAACGGGUGGAGCCCUGCGGUUUAAUUGGACUCAACGCCGGACAACUCACCGGGGCGACAGCAAUAUGUAGGCCAAGCUGAAGACUUUGCCUGAAUCGCUGAGUAGAGGUGCAUGG
This 403-nucleotide ribosomal RNA is filed under the name uncultured archaeon. Its description in RNAcentral is "bacterial SSU rRNA". It matches the Rfam family "Archaeal small subunit ribosomal RNA", at positions 595 to 997 of the family's 1478-position model. The record is from RNAcentral.